UGUACAUAUUUAUGAGAGGAGCCAGCUCUGGCACCCUUGCAGGGCUCCUAGCUGUGAAAGCUGUAACCUUUGGAGCGAUUCAGUAGGCAGUCACCUUCAGCAUGGGCACAAAAACGUUGCUGCUGACAGAAAAUAAGAACACCACCACGAAGUGAACGUAAAGUGCCGUGGGAUGUAAAACACACCUCAGAGAGAAGAAACACCUCGGUUCCUUGUCCUAGUACCCUGCUAUAGGGUUUUUGGCUUUCGCACGAUGAUGUUUCUGCGUCUGGAUGUGGUGGUUUCCAGUCUUGUGGCUUCUGAGAUGUCUGUUCCAGACCCUCAUGAUGUGGAUGCUUCCUCCUACUGAGGUGCGUGUGCAAUUCUUCAUAGCGCUGGCUGUUGACAACAACUACAACUUUCAUCGCAGAACCCCCGACUCGAUAUUCGUGCCAGGACAUUCAUUGCAAUUGCCCUGAUUUGAUGGCAGCUUUUGAAGGAAAUAAAAAUCAGAGCUUUGGAGCAUUCUUGGCAUGCAGCAUGAUGACCCUUGGAAAAAGGAGACCCAUUCACCCUCCUGAAGACUGCUGUUCAGACACAGGGUCUCAACAGACAAGGACCCAGCAGUUUCAGAUGGACGCUGUGUUCUCCUCUACCUCCUGCUCUCAUCUGGUCUUCGGUGCUCAGGAAAGCCACUGCCCAUCCGUGAUCUCCACCCAGGAAAGGCCAAAUCACUGUUUCAUACGGGAAGCAAAUAAAGCAGAGCUCAUGCACUAGCUGAUGAGACUGAAACAACGCACUGGAUGGGCAUCUGGUCAAGCAAGUGCUGUCUGUCCCUACUGAGUUAGGG
Grus americana (Whooping crane) is the source of this 829-nucleotide long non-coding RNA. RefSeq lists it as uncharacterized. The record is from RefSeq and is a predicted model, not a curated record. Lineage: Eukaryota; Metazoa; Chordata; Aves; Gruiformes; Gruidae. The transcript is spliced from 5 exons.